GUUGCGGUGGCCGAGUGGUUAAGGCGUUGGACUUGAAAUCCAAUGGGAUCUUCCCGCACAGGUUCGAAUCCUGCUCGCAACG
RNAcentral lists this transfer RNA (82 nucleotides) under Nematostella vectensis (starlet sea anemone). It matches the Rfam family "tRNA". From Rfam's summary of the family: Transfer RNA (tRNA) molecules are approximately 80 nucleotides in length. Their secondary structure includes four short double-helical elements and three loops (D, anti-codon, and T loops). Lineage: Eukaryota; Metazoa; Cnidaria; Anthozoa; Actiniaria; Edwardsiidae. The record is from Rfam by way of RNAcentral.